RNAcentral lists this non-coding RNA (264 nucleotides) under Paenibacillus macerans. RNAcentral's name for it is "T-box sequence". It matches the Rfam family "T-box leader". Rfam says of the family: Uncharged tRNA acts as the effector for transcription antitermination of genes in the T-box leader family. The record is from RNAcentral. Lineage: Bacteria; Bacillati; Bacillota; Bacilli; Caryophanales; Paenibacillaceae.
UGAAAUGCGAUGAAGAGAAGAGUAGAUAGACGAGUUCUUUUCCAGAGAGCCCCGCUUGCUGAAAAGGGGUAAAGAGUUGUUUAUUGAAGAAAGUCUCAGAGCACCGCAUCGGAACCCGAACAGCGGGGGGUGGUGUGGCAGGGGCUCCUGUUACAGAGCUAGAGUAUAAGCGUCGCCCGGGGCGAUGCCGUACUCGAAGAGGCUGAAAUGGCGACAUUUCGGCGAAUUUGGGGUGGUACCGCGAGCGUAAAUCUCGUCCCUAAG